RNAcentral lists this unclassified non-coding RNA (201 nucleotides) under soil metagenome. RNAcentral describes it as "partial internal transcribed spacer 1". The record is from RNAcentral.
CCGAGUUUACAACUCCCAAACCCAGUGUGAACGUUACCAAACUGUUGCCUCGGCGGGAUCUCUGCCCCGGGUGCGUCGCAGCCCCGGACCAAGGCGCCCGCCGGAGGACCAACCAAAACUCUUAUUGUAUACCCCCUCGCGGGUUUUUUUUAUAAUCUGAGCCUUCUCGGCGCCUCUCGUAGGCGUUUCGAAAAUGAAUCA